CGGUGCCUGUCUUCUGUGCCGCUCGGAGGUCGCUGGGCGUGCGUCGGGCGGCGGCGAGCCGGGCCGGAGCCGGAGUCCGUUUCAUUCUGGGCGGGAAGUGGGCGUGGGCGGCAGGCGGGGGCUGCCCGGAAUUGUAGAGCCCAGCCGGCGGCGCCCUCCCAGCGGCGGAGUGAACGUUGGUGGGUAGGAACGCCGCGGCGGCAGCCGCGCCCGCCCCUAGGUGAUCGAGCCGCGGCGGCCAGGCCUCCACCGCGGCCGCCCGAGGCCGUCCAAGGCCACGUGGGCGGCGGGAUGAGUCGGCGGCCCUCGGGACGGAGUUGCUGGGCGAACCGCGAGCCAGCACGUGCAGCGAAAGUGGCUGGGUUGCGGCUCUGGGCGCCGACACUUAAAAGCACAUAGGAGGUGCCCCGGCAAGUGUUCGUUCUCUCCAAACCUCAGGAGCAUGGUAGGAAUAACUCACAUUAACCGUCACCUCUGAAGUCAGACUUUACCCUCCCCUGACGUUGAUUUUGAUGAAUGAAUAAAGUUACCUUGGGAAAGUUUUUGAGUUUCUUCGUCUUGUCUCGUGGUCUUGACACUUUUGAAGAGCACUGGGCAGAUAUGUUUAGAACGAACCUCAAAUUGAGUCUUUCUGAUGUUUCCUUCCUCACAAGUAGGUGGGGCUCGUGGAUUUAGGGGAACAAUACCAAAGAAUUAGAUUUGAAUGUGCUUACAAUGUACUUCAGAGCUGUGACUCUGUGCUCUGGCUCGUGGAAGUGAGAGCCUGAAAGGGAGAGAGAGCCUGGCUGGAGCAAAGCAGGUUGAUGUGACGUAACAGGUGGUCCAGAAACGUGAUGAGAAGAGCUGAGAGUUGGAGGGAUUAAUGAUGACUACAUCAAGUGAAAAAGAUGAUCUUUUACAAAUUGAAACGAUAGAUCUCGUUUCUGAAGAUGAAGAAAAAGUGAGAUAUAUCCUCCUAAACCAGCUCUCCAGGAAUCCAUUAACACAGUAAUCCCAGCGUAUCUGGAGGAGUUGAGGAAGCACCAGAUAAAUACUGAAAAGCACGAAAGGUGCACAAUCUUAGGUACAUGAGUACAGAAGAUAAAGUUUGUCAUGUACACUCAUAUCCAAGAAAUGGAAUUUGGUUUGAAAAUCCUAGAGGAUGCCCUAAGAAUGCAUAAGAGAAUGAUAGAUCCUGUUAAAGAAAAAAACAUCAGGAGAAACAGCAGAAUUUCUCCACCUCUAUUUGGAAUCUAUAGAAGAAAUUAAGGAACAAAACAAUGAUGAAGAAACCAUUUCACCAGCUUCAGGACUUGUGGUGUAUUUUAUGACAAGUCUUAACUUCGUAAUAAGUAGUGGCAGUUAAUUUUCCUUCUUAUACUGCUGAUUAUUUAUAUGUCUUUAGUGACUACCUGCUAUUCUAACUGAAUGAAGCUUAGAAUUCUAGGAGUCCCUCCUCAUUUUUCAGGCUGAAAUUUCUGAAGCCAUGUUAACAUAGUACAUAGAGUGAAAUUUCAGGGCCUAAAGCUCUUAAUUAUAUAUGCUUUGAAAAGAAAUUUUUAAAAGAAUUCUAAUGAGAAUCUGAACCUGACUUUCAGUGUACUUUCUUGGAUCAUCUAUCUCCUUGGAGAGGUAGUAACCUUCAUUCAGAGCGAUGUUUUAUUAGGAUUCUCAAUUUUCAAAGCGGGCGUCAGACUUCUGAAUUGUUUGAUAAUGUGUGAGUCUCUAAAUGACAACACAGAAAAUCUAUAGUUCAGGUAAUGGUCAAGCAUAAAAUAUUAACUCACUGUUUGCUGAGAUGUUGUCAGUGUCCUAGCUGAGAGAAGAAAUGUUUUGGGAAGACUGACUAGAGAACUUAUGCUCUAUAGUGAUGCUGGGGUGUGCUGUCCAGACCCCCCGUAGGCCUGCGGAGCUCAUUUCCGCCGCUGCCCACACUCAUGGCUGCUGACGGCUCGUGGUCCCCUCCAGGAAUUGCCCUCAGCGGAAGCCGCUUUGCCCGAGGUUGCACCACCUCCCUGAGACAGCUUGCAGCAGUUACUGGUUGUGGUGGGGCACAGACCUCCUUCCCUCACCUCUGAAGCUCCCUCUGGGCCUGACUGAGGCUUCGCCAGCAGCCGCAUCGUGGUUCACCUUCUGCCAGCUUUACUUCCCCAGUGGCCUUUCAGGUGCUGCUCCUGAGUACAAUCCUUAAAAAAUCUCCGGCAUGCAGAUUGCCCCCCAGAUGCUAUUUCCAGAGAACCUGAGCUAAGACGUACUCCAGAUACUCUUUCAGAUAUUUCAACUCAAUCCCUGGGUCGAGCUAGAUCAUAAGAAAGAGAGCUUCUCAUUGCCUCAGAAACAAAGUCCAAAUUCCUUUGUGUGACAUUCCAGGCCUGUCACCAGCCUCUGAGCCCUGAGUCCAUCUGUUCCUUCUGUGCUCUGACAUGUACUUGUGCGGUAGAGACCUUGCAAACUUUCCUUCCUAGACUCCCUCGGCAGCUGGUUUCUAGCGGCUUCUGCCAAUGAGAUACUAAUGAAAAACAGGCAGAUGGGGGUAGAGGAAGAGAGACUCCCUUGUUCUCCAUCGUAUCAGUAUCCCUGCAGCAGCAGCAGUCGGCUGUGGAAGAGUGUCUUCAGUGGCACCAUCACCCACCGGGCAAAGCCUCCUCUUCAGUCUCAGCACCAGCCCUCAGACCCCACUCCACAGCCCUGACACCUGCGAAGGGUCCGUUCCCUGUGAUUCCAGCACUGCACGUGGCACCGCCUCGGCUCCCCAGUGGAUCCAGCACCAGGCAGAGGACUCCUCCUCUGAGAGCCAGCCGAGGUGGCACGUCCCCAUAGUUCUGGUCUGUGGUGACACCACCUAGUCUCUUUAUUCCUCCAGUUUUAGGGGUGGUAGGUGCUUCCUGCAGUUACUAAUUUCUGGAUUUCUUUUCUAUGUAAAUUUUUUUCCUAGUUUUAUUGAGAUAUGAUUGACAUACAGCACUGUAGAAGUUUAAGGUGUACAGCAUAAUGACUUGACUCACA
Long non-coding RNA from Balaenoptera musculus (blue whale), 2985 nucleotides. RefSeq lists it as uncharacterized. The record is from RefSeq and is a predicted model, not a curated record. The transcript is spliced from 4 exons. NCBI's taxonomy places the organism in Eukaryota, Metazoa, Chordata, Mammalia, Artiodactyla, Balaenopteridae.